AUGGGUGGUGAAGGGUAUGACUCGAUGGUCAGGCAGACAUUUAAAAGCGAGAACGAAGCGUACAAGUUCUACUUAGGGAAAACACCUGGAAAGUCAAGUAGACAGACUAAGAUGACAAGGGGAACACAAACGCUUUCUCUUGGACCAUCAGUGCAUUAUGAAUCAGUAAGAGCAAGAAAACCACCAAGAUCCAAUACGUUCAUUCAGUUCAACAAUGAAUGA
Molecule: ribosomal RNA, 222 nt
Filed under: Triticum aestivum (bread wheat)
Lineage: Eukaryota; Viridiplantae; Streptophyta; Magnoliopsida; Poales; Poaceae
Description: partial small subunit ribosomal RNA
Source: RNAcentral